UACGUAGGUGGCAAGCGUUUGUCCGGAUUUACUGGGCGUAAAGGGAGCGUAGGCGGUCUUUUAAGUGGGGUGUGAAAUCCCUGGGCUUAACCCAGGAAUUGCAUUCCAUACUGGGGAGACUAGAGUGCAGGAGAGGAAAGUGGAAUUCCAAGUGUAGCGGUGAAAUGCGUAGAGAUUUGGAGGAACACCAGUGGCGAAGGCGACUUUCUGGACUGUAACUGACGCUGAGGCUCGAGAGCGUGGGGAGCAAACAGG
RNAcentral lists this ribosomal RNA (255 nucleotides) under uncultured bacterium. Its description in RNAcentral is "partial 16S ribosomal RNA". It matches the Rfam family "Bacterial small subunit ribosomal RNA", at positions 524 to 776 of the family's 1533-position model. The record is from RNAcentral.